GUAGCGGAAGGACACCAUUCUUUCUACCACAGUUUUGCCCCUUACUUUGUCUGCUACCGUAUCCAAAGCUUUUUAAAUAUUUCAAGUCUACAAUAAAAGCAUAUUUAAAAAAUAAAUACAAUAAAGUAUUAGCAAGCAUAUUAUGUAUACCCAUGGUCUACUGUAGUAGAAGGUAGUCCUUGAAAAGGGAACACAAAACACAAGAAUGACCUAUGAUGGUACUUUAGGACUGGAGGCCAUCGGCAAAGAACACACUUUUUAAGGAAGUUCUGAGCCACAUAAUUCUCCAAAAUCAUAAUUCUGACCCCACAUCUAUGGAAAUGGCUCUGACAUGGACAAAGGAUCUAACGUCUUUGUGGGCUACAAGAUCACCUCUGCUUCAGGCUGGAAUGCUCUUCUCCACAGAAUCCAGGAACUGACAUAUGUAAACACCCACCCAGAAGGACACAUCCAAGAGGGAAUGGAAAGAAAAAUGAUGGUCCAGAUGUCCUGUAACUUGCAAUGACUGCCAAAUCACCAUGGACCCAAAGCACCUGGGAGGCUGUGUCAGGCCUUACUUCCUGGUUUCAGACAGUCAGGGACCUGUGACUGGGUGGUGACUGUGACAGCCUGCAGACUAGACGGGAGAGAACCCGUUAGAAGGGCACCAGCUGACAGGACUUGGGGGCUGAACACACAGAGCUUGAUUUAUCACUUCCUUACUCAUAAAAAUGUGAUUCAAAGUGCU
RNAcentral lists this long non-coding RNA (727 nucleotides) under Mus pahari (shrew mouse). RNAcentral's name for it is "predicted gene 28180 (MGP_PahariEiJ_G0002568.1)". The record is from RNAcentral. Lineage: Eukaryota; Metazoa; Chordata; Mammalia; Rodentia; Muridae.